This 821-nucleotide ribosomal RNA is filed under the name uncultured marine bacterium. RNAcentral's name for it is "bacterial SSU rRNA". It matches the Rfam family "Bacterial small subunit ribosomal RNA", at positions 69 to 882 of the family's 1533-position model. The record is from RNAcentral.
GUAACAUUGGUGCUUGCACCAGAUGACGAGUGGCGCACGGGUGCGUAACGCGUAUGCAACCUACCUUUUACUAGAGUAUAGCCCAGAGAAAUUUGGAUUAAUCCUCUAUAAUAUCUUUUAAUUUCAUGAUUAAUUGAUUAAAGUUUUAACGGUAAAGGAUGGGCAUGCGUCCUAUUAGUUUGUAGGUGAGGUAACGGCUCACCUAGACUACGAUAGGUAGGGGCCCUGAGAGGGGGAUCCCCCACACUGGUACUGAGACACGGACCAGACUCCUACGGGAGGCAGCAGUAAGGAAUAUUGGACAAUGGACGAAAGUCUGAUCCAGCCAUGCCGCGUGCAGGAUGAAAGCCCUAUGGGUUGUAAACUGCUUUUAUACAGGAAGAAACACUCCGACGUGUCGGAGCUUGACGGUACUGUAAGAAUAAGGAUCGGCUAACUCCGUGCCAGCAGCCGCGGUAAUACGGAGGAUCCAAGCGUUAUCCGGAAUCAUCGGGUUUAAAGGGUCCGCAGGCGGUCUUUUAAGUCAGAGGUGAAAGCCUACAGCUCAACUGUAGAACGGCCUUUGAUACUGAAAGACUUGAGUUAUUGUGAAGUGGUUAGAAUGUGUGGUGUAGCGGUGAAAUGCAUAGAUAUCACACAGAAUUCCGAUUGCGAAGGCAGAUCACUAACAAUAUACUGACGCUCAUGGACGAAAGCGUGGGGAGCGAACAGGAUUAGAUACCCUGGUAGUCCACGCCGUAAACGAUGGAUACUAGCUGUUCGUCUAACAUUGGUUAGAUGAGUGGCUAAGCGAAAGUGAUAAGUAUCCCACCUGGGGAGUA